GGGUCGUUAGCUCACGUUGGUAGAGCAGUUGACUUUUAAUCAAUUGGUCGCAGGUUCGAAUCCUGCACGACCCACCA
RNAcentral lists this transfer RNA (77 nucleotides) under Escherichia coli. RNAcentral's name for it is "tRNA-Lys". It matches the Rfam family "tRNA". From Rfam's summary of the family: Transfer RNA (tRNA) molecules are approximately 80 nucleotides in length. Their secondary structure includes four short double-helical elements and three loops (D, anti-codon, and T loops). Further hydrogen bonds mediate the characteristic L-shaped molecular structure. tRNAs have two regions of fundamental functional importance: the anti-codon, which is responsible for specific mRNA codon recognition, and the 3' end, to which the tRNAs corresponding amino acid is attached (by aminoacyl-tRNA synthetases). tRNAs cope with the degeneracy of the genetic code in two manners: having more than one tRNA (with a specific anti-codon) for a particular amino acid; and 'wobble' base-pairing, i.e. permitting non-standard base-pairing at the 3rd anti-codon position. Lineage: Bacteria; Pseudomonadati; Pseudomonadota; Gammaproteobacteria; Enterobacterales; Enterobacteriaceae. The record is from RNAcentral.